Molecule: long non-coding RNA, 2075 nt
Filed under: Setaria viridis
Lineage: Eukaryota; Viridiplantae; Streptophyta; Magnoliopsida; Poales; Poaceae
Description: long non-coding RNA (SVIR_LNC006239)
Source: RNAcentral
GGGUAUUGGAGUAAUAUACAAAAUCAUGUAAUUAGGAAAUUGGUGUAAUAAUAUUGGAAAUAUGUAUUUUUCAUCUCUCAAGUAUUUUGGAAGUGUUCCUCAUUUUUUAAUUGGCGCAAAUCGAUCCCUUAAUUUAUUAUAUCAAUGCACUAAUCAUCCACGUCCUAACACUUUUUCCCACAAUAUUUGGUCAGAUACACCAUUUUAAUAAGCAUUUUUAAUGUUACCGUUUUGUCACUGUAUAGGUUAGAUAUAGAUUUUUAUACAUAUACAUAUUGAAGUGUGCACUCAGGUCGUCCGUGCUCCAGCUUCGCGCUCGACAGUGGGCAUCACUUCCUCUGCACGCACCACAAAGUAAAGUAAAAUAAUGCAAGCGAAUACAGUAGAGUUUGCAUAAUAAAAUUGACUGCUUCACCUGCUACCUGACACUUGUACACUAAACAUAUCACGCCACCAAGGGUGCCCCCGACGAUGCUCCCCACCACGAUCUCAGCCAACACCCCACCAGACGGUCCAGCAGGCCACUGCGUCUCGGGCGGCGGAAGGCUAGGCGGCAGCGGCUGGCGGGGCGGAGGAGUUGGGGAUGAUGGUGGCGGAGGGGGGAAGGGGCAGCAACUGGCGGUUGGAACCGCCUCCUUGCGGCCCCCGCACGUGCCGUAAAGCAUCCACACCGAGUCGAUGCCGAGGUUGGCUUCGGCGAAGGUGCCGUACUCGCCGACGUUGCCGAGACAACCGCGGUCCGGGUUGUCUACAGUGUCCAGCAACACCGAGCAGUAGCCUGGAGGAGCAACGGCUGUCAAAAAUGUAUGCUGCUCCGCCAACCUUGCUGCAAGAGUAGAGCUGCUGCAUUUCGGCGCCAUUCUUGCCCAUGCAUGUCAUUACCAUUUACAUUAAUUACAUAAAUGCGUUGUAUUUGUGGGUAACAGUUAACUCAAAUGAAACCAACUAGCUGCAGACUGACUACUCUAGCUACUUUCAUUGAUCCAUGGCAAAAAGAAUAAACUACUACUACUGUAAUGAACAAUUGCAUACCGAUCCUACACACUCCGUCUUGUUUAUUGGCUAGGAAUGAAAACAAUUGCAUACCUCCUUUUGGUGUCCUGGCCACUGACGCCACGAUGUCGCUGGGGUCAGCAUGGGGUGCGGGUUGGGAGCUAGUAGCUGCUGCAGAGUCAGACACGAAAUAAAUAUAUGAUCCAACAAGUCUUUUUGCUGCAUGCGGCUAGUUCAAUGCAGUGUGUGCAGGGGAUGAGUGUUGAAAUAUGCAAUGCAUACUUGGAACAUUUUACAAGAUUGUGGAGAUCUUAAGAGACUAACUUUGCCAUGUAUAAUGAUAAGAUCAUGGCAAGGUAAGAAGGUUCUAUAAAAUUGGAGAGAAUAUAUGAGCUAUAAUUGUCAAGCUUCAUGGUGAAAUGUAGAAUACUCUAGAACAUAUUUUAGUAUGGUAGAAAUAUAAAAACUAAGUAAGGAUGAGGAUGGUUCUAAAGUUAGGAUAUUUUGUAUUGAAGAGUGUGGAAGUUGCCACAUGGCAACACCACAAUGAUCAUGAGCACAUAUAAAUAGAGGUGCUCCCCUCUCUCCUAGCCGAUUUCUCAACAGUGAGCGAGGCCAAUUAUUAGCAUAUACAUGCAGAACAUAGUAUAAUUAAUAAAGACCGGACAGUCAGUUGAGAGACAGGACCCACCAAAAGCCUCUGGGUUUAUCACUAUAUUUGCAUUGAAAGGCUAAAGUUUAGCACUAAAUCAACCAAACAAGAGAGUUAAUCUGUAGGCUAAACUUUAGUUAAACCUAAAAAACUGUAAAAGCAUCGGAUAGGAUAAACUUUAGUUAAUUCAAAAAAGAUGUAAAAGUAUUAGUUAAGAUAAACUUUAGUCAGGUAAAUAUUUGGUUAGAUACAUCAUUUUAGUAAGCAUUUUUACUGUUACCAUUUUAUCAUUGUAUAGGUUAGAUAUAGAUUUUUAUACAUAUACAUAUUGAAGUGUGCACUCAGGUUGUCCAUGCUCCACGGUUACCCACGGUAGGGUCAUAGAAGGACCAAAAUUGUAUGGCAUUUGUUAUGAAAGCUGGCUCAUCCC